CCAUUUAGAGGAAGUAAAAGUCGUAACAAGGUCUCCGUAGGUGAACCUGCGGAGGGAUCAUUAACACAACACGUGACACUGCUCUCGGGCAGUGCGCCACUGUUAACACCCAUCUAACGUGAACUACUAUGACCCUUUUUCUUUCUACUCAGCUUGCUGUGUAGAUUUUCAUUGUUUGAAAUGAAACCCUUUCCAAUGUUUUACACUUGUAACUGUGACUGGUGGUGAUGUUAGUUGUGUUCUUUGAACUCGACUGGUGUCCCCCUUUGUAACUAUUACGAACUAUUAUAGAGUACAACUCUUAGCAACGGAUAUCUUGGUUCUC
RNAcentral lists this unclassified non-coding RNA (325 nucleotides) under fungal sp. RNAcentral's name for it is "partial internal transcribed spacer region". The stretch from base 1 to 63 matches the Rfam family "Eukaryotic small subunit ribosomal RNA", at positions 1769 to 1831 of the family's 1831-position model. Lineage: Eukaryota; Fungi. The record is from RNAcentral.